GAAUUUUGCGCAAUGGACGAAAGUCUGACGCAGCAACGCCGCGUGAGGGAUGAAGGCCUUCGGGUUGUAAACCUCUUUUAUCAGGGAAGAUAAUGACGGUACCUGAUGAAUAAGUCACGGCUAACUCCGUGCCAGCAGCCGCGGUAAUACGUAGGUGACAAGCGUUGGCCGGAUUUACUGGGCGUAAAGAGCGCGCAGGCGGUCGUUCAAGUCGAGUGUGAAAGCCCCCGGCUCAACUGGGGAGGGUCAUUCGAUACUGAUCGACUCGAAGACAGGAGAGGGAAGUGGAAUUCCCGGUGUAGUGGUGAAAUGCGUAGAUAUCGGGAGGAACACCAGUGGCGAAGGCGACUUCCUGGCCUGUUCUUGACGCUGAGGCGCGAAAGCUAGGGGAGCAAACGGG
This 400-nucleotide ribosomal RNA is filed under the name uncultured bacterium. Its description in RNAcentral is "bacterial SSU rRNA". It matches the Rfam family "Bacterial small subunit ribosomal RNA", at positions 359 to 776 of the family's 1533-position model. The record is from RNAcentral.